UCUUAUGCGGCCAGAAGUAGCACCUGCCUCCACUCUGACACACCUGUGCCCCUCAGCCAACAGAGGGCCCUCUAGCCACCAAGGCAUACACCUUUCUUGGAAAGCAAAAAGAGGUUCUUCGAAAAACGGAGGCGCCGCUAACAGAACUGGGCCGAGGAGAUCAUCUGCGGUGGCGGGCUGGCCACUUGCUCCGAGAGUACGGGAUUUAUGGUUCUGGCGUGCCAGGAGGAAACGCCUCGUCGCCAGAUGGAAUUCAGACCCGGGAGUGCGUUUGCUUCCCGGGGCCAGAGACAAGGACUGGGCAGGAUCAGGAAGAGGACAAUUCCUCCAUCGAGUUGUGAAAGGGGGAAACGGAGAAUGAGCCAAGUUGGAGGUCAAGGACCAAGCCUGGAGAUACGAUCAGAGGCCAAGAGGAAAAGGAAACACAGGCGUGAUAAGUGAUGUGGCGGGAGACAGAGGGCGAACCCCGAGCGCGUGUCAGGGAAAGGGUGGGGGGACAGUUCACGGUGUCAACUGCCCCAAGGCAGGCGAGGAGGAUUUACAUGAUGAAAGACGUGUGUCCAGACUUACUGGUUGAGUACCUAUUACGUACAGGUGCUAGUCACAAGGUGAGCAAGACAGAGAGAGAGAGAGAGAGGGGGGGGGCAAAAGAUGUGUCCUCUGGCCUCGCGGAGUUUCCAGUCUAGAGAAGACAGCAGGCAUUCGUCAGAACCAAACUCACACGGUCCUAAAGGCAGAGUCAUCUCUGAGCCCCAGCCUCUGUCCUGGAGGAAGUGAGCUGAAGAGGGAGGACAGACAGAGAGCCCACCGAUUAAGCGGUAGUCGAUGCGGUCCUCCAGCUUGUUGCUGCGGUGGCUCUUGUCGAUGCUGAGGACGAAGAGGUUGAUGUAGGCGUCCAGCGAGAACUGGUACAUGGGGUCGAUACGGCCAUGUCGUUGAGCACGAAGAACAGAACCGACGCCCUCUGGGCACAAGGGCGCUGCUCGGUCACUUCGGUGGCGGUCAUCUUGGAGGUACGAAGGGUGUUCACCAGCUGCACGUCGUCGAGCAGGGAGCCCGUGGCCUCAUUCAGCAGCCUGAAGGGGAAGCGCAGGUAGGCGGGUGGGGAGGCGGGGAGUCCUCCCGCCCCAGCCCGCCACACCCGGGAUUCUGGCUGGGCUGGGCGGUGGGUGGCAGCGGCGGGUGCACCCUCACCGAAGGAUCUCGUCCUCCAGCUCCUUGAGCUUCCUCUUGCCGGCAGCGAUGUUGAUGACCAGUGAGUCCUUCUGUUCCUCCAGCUCCGGCCGCUCCUUCCGCACCACGAUGCCCAGCAGCUGAGCCUCCAGGCCCUGGGAGCACGGGGACGCGCGGUGGGACUCGCGCUCUGGUGAAGGCACACCCCUGGCACCCGGUCACGCCUCCCCCCACCUGUCCCCCGCCGCCCAGCGCAGGGGGCCUUUGUCUCCACCCCGCUGACUCUCCGGGUGCUUCCUGCUCCUCGAUAGCUGGGUCCAGGCUGCAGCCCCCGCCCCCGCCCCCACCUGUUCCUUGACGGCAAAGUUGACGAUGGUGGUCUUGGCCGAGGUCUCAGGACUGUAGUGGGGGUUGGAGAGCUUGGUGGUGAUGUAGAAACGGAAAUUGC
Molecule: long non-coding RNA, 1621 nt
Organism: Neofelis nebulosa (Clouded leopard)
Lineage: Eukaryota; Metazoa; Chordata; Mammalia; Carnivora; Felidae
Exons: 4
Source: RefSeq, a predicted model, not a curated record